Molecule: ribosomal RNA, 408 nt
Filed under: uncultured bacterium
Lineage: Bacteria
Description: bacterial SSU rRNA
Rfam family: Bacterial small subunit ribosomal RNA
Source: RNAcentral
UGGGGAAUAUUGCGCAAUGGGCGGAAGCCUGACGCAGCGACGCCGCGUGGGGGAUGACGGCCUUCGGGUUGUAAACCUCUUUCAGCAGGGACGAAGCGGAAGUGACGGUACCUGCAGAAGAAGCACCGGCCAACUACGUGCCAGCAGCCGCGGUAAUACGUAGGGUGCAAGCGUUGUCCGGAAUUAUUGGGCGUAAAGAGCUCGUAGGCGGUUUGUUGCGUCGGCUGUGAAAUCCCGAGGCUCAACCUCGGGUCUGCAGUCGAUACGAGCAAACUAGAGUGUUGCAGGGGAGACUGGAAUUCCUGGUGUAGCGGUGAAAUGCGCAGAUAUCAGGAGGAACACCGGUGGCGAAGGCGGGUCUCUGGGCAACAACUGACGCUGAGGAGCGAAAGCGUGGGGAGCGAACAG